This 381-nucleotide ribosomal RNA is filed under the name uncultured Acidovorax sp. Its description in RNAcentral is "bacterial SSU rRNA". It matches the Rfam family "Bacterial small subunit ribosomal RNA", at positions 999 to 1382 of the family's 1533-position model. Lineage: Bacteria; Pseudomonadati; Pseudomonadota; Betaproteobacteria; Burkholderiales; Comamonadaceae. The record is from RNAcentral.
UUUAGAGAUAGAGGAGUGCUCGAAAGAGAGCCGUACACAGGUGCUGCAUGGCUGUGUCAGCUCGUGUCGUGAGAUGUUGGGUUAAGUCCCGCAACGAGCGCAACCCUUGUCAUUAGUUGCUACAUUCAGUUGGGCACUCUAAUGAGACUGCCGGUGACAAACCGGAGGAAGGUGGGGAUGACGUCAAGUCCUCAUGGCCCUUAUAGGUGGGGCUACACACGUCAUACAAUGGAUGGUACAAAGGGUCGCCAACCCGCGAGGGGGAGCCAAUCCCAUAAAGCCAUUCGUAGUCCGGAUCGCAGUCUGCAACUCGACUGCGUGAAGUCGGAAUCGCUAGUAAUCGUGGAUCAGAAUGUCACGGUGAAUACGUUCCCGGGUCUU